CUUUACCUUUUCAUAUGAACUCUUCUCUAAAGCAGGUCACGGGGGAAAAAAAAAAGCUUUAAGGAGAAAUAAUUUCUCCGGGCAUAAACUGAGCUUAGCGGGCCUAUCAGCUGUUUCUCCUCACUCCACCACUGCUGCUGACUGGAGGAGCAGCCUGGAAAGCAGCCGCCCUCCCGCAAACAGCAGAAAGACGCAUCAUCCAUAAAAAAUGUGAAUGUGAGGACGGUGGGACCAUCCUGGCACACACUGAGCAGCAGGGACCUCCGAGCCCUCAGAUGUCAUCCAGCCAGGCUGACCAGAAUGGUGGUGAUAUGAAGAGUUGGGGAAUUCGACUUGAAUACAAAGCAUAAUACUGCUUUCACUUAAAAAGGUUGGUGAACCAUACUCCAACAGAAAGGGGAAAUAAGACUAGCUCUGCUGGAGUAAGGAAGCUGACUAAGGGAAGAACCAGAAGGCCGCCAAAAUGUGUUGAGAGCUUGGGAUAUUUUGAAACAAGUAGUACAUUUAAAAUGUAGACAUUCAUUCAAUGAGUAUUCUUUAACUCAACAUGGUAAAGGCUACAGAGAAAUGGGAAGGAAGUUCAGGUGAGGCUGAGAAGACCAAAGACAAUUGUGUGCCUUUAAAGGAAAUAACAACAAGAAUUAGGAGCACCCUGGAGGCAAGGUCUGCUGCUGGGGAAACCAAACCACAAUAACUUCAGAAAUAUAUACUUGGAAUAUGUCAUGUAUUAAUGGGUAAAGAUACCAUGGAUAUGAAGGAGAUCACCUAUGGGAGAAUACUAAGAAGAGAAGAAGGUAAAGAAUCUUCCUUGAGGAACAUCUACAUUUAAAGGGGCUGCUGGCUGUAGUGAAAUGUAUAAAAAAGAGAGUGUGAUCCUAGUUUCUGUCUCUAACUAUGAGUUACUUGUGAUUAACUUCAAAUAUUCUCUCCAUAAGAAGAGGCCCAGAAGAAGAAGAUGAGCUUCAGUUAUUCUAGCACAACUACUGUGAUAUUUGUAAAGAUUCAAAACCUAUAAUAAAAUGUAUAAAAGGAAA
This is a long non-coding RNA of Pongo pygmaeus (Bornean orangutan), 1034 nucleotides long. RefSeq lists it as uncharacterized. The record is from RefSeq and is a predicted model, not a curated record. NCBI's taxonomy places the organism in Eukaryota, Metazoa, Chordata, Mammalia, Primates, Hominidae. The transcript is spliced from 9 exons.